RNAcentral lists this unclassified non-coding RNA (447 nucleotides) under Yarrowia lipolytica. Lineage: Eukaryota; Fungi; Ascomycota; Dipodascomycetes; Dipodascales. The record is from RNAcentral.
UCAAAAACUCACGGAGGUAUUAUGCCACGACGGUGCGCGUUUUUUCGUUUGCGCAACGUUGCCAGAUUGGACUCAGUCCACUCGAACCUCCCAGAUCGAAUUCCUGCCAUUUAGGAAGCCUGGCCAUAAAAUUAUAUGGUAUGGGUGUCACUGAAGGGAUACAUGUCCUCUGUAUAAAGCGAUGUUAUGUUCUUAGCGACAUUCAAAGUGUACAACAGAGUGUACAUUAUAUAUUAUUAGUUAUCCAGAGUGUGUCGUAUAUGUUUGGGAUGCGUCUAUACUCAUCUGUGUCAAUGCUGUCGAUGAUGUUUGGAGGGAGUUACUUGCUUUGGCAGCAUUAACUGAACUGUUGACUGAUCUGCUCAUGGCUGUUUUAUUUGUUGUAUGAUAACGACAAUGCCAAAGCACAGUGUGAAUUUACUUAAGCGAGGGUUUACAGCGCUAGUG